This is a long non-coding RNA of Brachypodium distachyon (stiff brome), 785 nucleotides long. RefSeq lists it as uncharacterized. NCBI's taxonomy places the organism in Eukaryota, Viridiplantae, Streptophyta, Magnoliopsida, Poales, Poaceae. The transcript is spliced from 4 exons. The record is from RefSeq and is a predicted model, not a curated record.
GCCGGAGAGCACAGAACAAAUCUGCUCUAUAAUCAAUCUUCCUCCUUCGUCGCGUCAACCAAUCGAUUCAAUCCGAUCCCAGUGGCCUUCGAGUUUCCCCUCGCAGCAGGGCACCUCCUCUCCUCUGCGUUGGAUGGAUCUCUUCCUCCCGCUGCUGCCCCUGCUCUCCCGAUAGGUGCUGCUAAGCGCGGGCGGACAGGAUGGGGCGCGGCUGGAGAGGGUUGGUGCCGAUUCUACCGCUUCGUGGCCGCCGCCGCCGCUGCCUCCGAGGGAGACGCCGAUCCGGUCUACAGAUCUUGCGUUGAAGAAUGUCAGAGGUUUGAGCAAGCUGUCAAGCACUGCGUGGUUCCGGCAGAUGAUCAGCCUGCUGACAAAUCAUGGUACGCGCACGAGCCAUUGUACUUGCAAUGGAAGGAGUGGAACUGCAACAGCGAAUGCCGAUACAAAUGGUAUGAUGGAAAGAGAAAAGGAAAGGGAAGAGCUUAGGCUCGGGCCGGUUAAGUAUCACGGCAAAUGGCCUCUGAAACGCUUGUGUUUCAGGAACCUUUAUCUGCUGCUCUAUCGGCUCUUACCCUUGUGCAAUUUAAUGGAUGGCUGUCAUUUUUCCUCUUGCUUCCAUAUAAGCUACCUCUUGGGCCCGAAACUCACGAGACAUACUAUGAAUAUACCGGAUUAUGGCACGUUUACGGGCUAUUGGCCAUGAAUUCGUGGUUCUGGAGUGCCAUAUAUCACAAUUGUGAUACUGAAUGGACAGAGAAGGUAUAUUUUUCAUCAUCUGCUCUGCA